GCUUAUACGAAUGGUAUUGAAGCCCGAGUAUCAAAUACUACUAAUGAAGGAUUAUUCCUCUUAUAGAUCAUUAAAUCUAUAGUUUCUCGCCAUCUUAUGCAUAAGUCUAGAAAUACAAGUCCAAAAAGUCUGAGGAAGUUUAUGGCUAAAAUGUAUGGAAAAGGCUAAAAUAAUGUCAAUAGUAAAUCUAUGAAACUCGGGCUUCAAUACCAUUCGUAUAAGCAUUGCUGACCACAUCUCUGGAGCCAACCUUACUGCUUGGCGUAGAUAUUGAAACCCAUUAACCACCCUCAUGAACAUUGAAUGGCCCUCAGACUUAGAUUCCUCUCUUGCUUCGUGUUUCUCAUCUAAAAUGUAACCAACAACUUCAUCUUCUAAAAUAACAUCAGCCACCUUAAUCAUAUCCCGGACAAGGAAAACACGCACCCUCCAACCCUUUUCAGAUAGAAUGAAAUGCAAAAGAUCAUCCGUGGCACCAACGACAGCACGCAUAUCAAAUGAUUUCCAUUCCAAGGUAUUUGAAGAAUUUGCUUCAGAAUUAGAGGCCUCUCCUGCAGACUCCGAAGCCUGUUCAGAUAUCGCCACUAUCAGGCGCUCUAACCGAUUCCAUCUCACAGAUCCAUCAUUGCAGAUGAGAAGUUCCCUCAAAAUUCUUCUCAUAUCAGGAUUUGGGUCAGC
RNAcentral lists this unclassified non-coding RNA (678 nucleotides) under Hevea brasiliensis (rubber tree). The record is from RNAcentral. Lineage: Eukaryota; Viridiplantae; Streptophyta; Magnoliopsida; Malpighiales; Euphorbiaceae.